UCCCUGAUGGCUCAGGGGUUAAAGCAUCUGCCUCCAAUGCAGGAGACCCAGGUUCAAUCCCUGGGUCAGGAAG
Molecule: transfer RNA, 73 nt
Filed under: Ovis aries (sheep)
Lineage: Eukaryota; Metazoa; Chordata; Mammalia; Artiodactyla; Bovidae
Description: tRNA-Trp (CCA) (tRNA-Trp-CCA-25-1)
Rfam family: tRNA
About the family: Transfer RNA (tRNA) molecules are approximately 80 nucleotides in length. Their secondary structure includes four short double-helical elements and three loops (D, anti-codon, and T loops).
Source: RNAcentral